UAGGGAAUCUUCGGCAAUGGACGGAAGUCUGACCGAGCAACGCCGCGUGAGUGAAGAAGGUUUGCGGAUCGUAAAGCUCUGUUGUGAGAGAAGAACGUUGGUAGGAGUGGAAAAUCUACCAAGUGACGGUAACUAACCAGAAAGGGACGGCUAACUACGUGCCAGCAGCCGCGGUAAUACGUAGGUACCGAGCGUUGUCCGGAUUUAUUGGGCGUAAAGCGAGCGCAGGGGGUUCUGUAAGUCUGAAGUUAAAGGCAGUUGCUUACCCAAUGUACGCUUUGGAAACUGGAGGACUUGAGUGCAUAAGGGGACAGUGGAAUUCCAUGUUUAGCGGUCCAAUUCGUCGAUAUAUGGAGGAACACCGGUGGCGAAACCUGCUCUCUUGUCUGUCACUGCCGCUGAGGCUCGAACGCGUGGGGUCCACCCAGG
This 429-nucleotide ribosomal RNA is filed under the name Bacillota bacterium. Its description in RNAcentral is "Firmicutes bacterium partial 16S ribosomal RNA". It matches the Rfam family "Bacterial small subunit ribosomal RNA", at positions 355 to 776 of the family's 1533-position model. The record is from RNAcentral. Lineage: Bacteria; Bacillati; Bacillota.